RNAcentral lists this transfer RNA (83 nucleotides) under Schistocephalus solidus. It matches the Rfam family "tRNA". From Rfam's summary of the family: Transfer RNA (tRNA) molecules are approximately 80 nucleotides in length. Their secondary structure includes four short double-helical elements and three loops (D, anti-codon, and T loops). The record is from Rfam by way of RNAcentral. Lineage: Eukaryota; Metazoa; Platyhelminthes; Cestoda; Diphyllobothriidea; Diphyllobothriidae.
GGCCUUGUAGCUCAUUUGGCAAAAUCGUUAGCUGUACUAACGUUUUCCCCUUUCUGGCGUGGGUUCAAAUUCCACCAAGGCCA